CCUCAUUCUCUCCUCUAGGGAUUUUAUGGUCUCGCAUCCUCAAAAGAAAGUUUUGAAGUCUCUAAGCAAGACCAUGUGGAAAGAAGCUAGCAGCAACUACUAAUGGCAUACACACUCAGUCUGCCCAAUGGGAUGAAUGGAUACAUGGAGAUCUUUCACAGAAGAAUGAAGAACUGAGGCAAAAGCAACCCAAUAGUUUACACAAGAUGAUUCAGCUGGCAGUUGGUGGAACAGGUGAAAUCAGCAAACACUCUCCGGAGCCCACCCCUGGUGAUGACUAUAGCCACAGAUCAAGAAACCAUGCUUAGUGUUAUUUGGGCACUGCUUCAUUAAUUAACCGAUGGAUUUAUUCAGCAAACUUUAAAGUCAGCCAAUUUUGAGCCCGUUCUGCCUUGUCCACUAUAAUUAUCGAGGAAAAUACAUUAGUUUUGUUCAAUGGCAAAGUCAAGUGUGGAAUGUUUGCUCUCAAGUCUGCAUUAGUGGAACAACUAAGAGAAGAGUAAUCCAGAGACGCUCUGCCUCCUGUUUGCUCUUUGCUUAACUUCCGUCAAGUUAACCUGCAAAGCAUUUAUUGACAGGCUCUCAUCUUUAGAGGGAGAUACAGGCUCUCAUCUUUAGAGGGAGAUACAGGCUCUAGCCUCCAUUCUCUCCUUCUUUGCUACCUCCUACCCAAAUUC
Molecule: long non-coding RNA, 677 nt
Filed under: Mustela putorius furo (domestic ferret)
Lineage: Eukaryota; Metazoa; Chordata; Mammalia; Carnivora; Mustelidae
Description: lncRNA (ENSMPUG00000027797.1)
Source: RNAcentral